GCCCUCAUAGCUCAGCGGUAGAGCGCGACACUAGUAAUGUCGAGGCCAUGAGUUCGACUCUCAUUGAGGGCA
This 72-nucleotide transfer RNA is filed under the name Fonsecaea multimorphosa CBS 102226. RNAcentral's name for it is "tRNA-Thr (AGT) (tRNA-Thr-AGT-1-1)". It matches the Rfam family "tRNA". Rfam says of the family: Transfer RNA (tRNA) molecules are approximately 80 nucleotides in length. The record is from RNAcentral. Lineage: Eukaryota; Fungi; Ascomycota; Eurotiomycetes; Chaetothyriales; Herpotrichiellaceae.